RNAcentral lists this long non-coding RNA (325 nucleotides) under Physcomitrium patens. Its description in RNAcentral is "long non-coding RNA (PPAT_LNC000442)". The record is from RNAcentral. Lineage: Eukaryota; Viridiplantae; Streptophyta; Bryopsida; Funariales; Funariaceae.
AAGUUAAGGUGUCAAUUUCAUACCUACUGUCACUCUUUGGAACAUAACAUAUGUUUACAAAGAACAACAAAGAAUCAGAGAUUAGGAUUGGAGAGAAUAUUUUUUCAAAUGCAUUUUUUAUAUACUAUUUGAUGAAUUUGGAGUUCGGAUGAAGAAGUAACAGAGAGUUGAAGUCAAUGUAUUCAAACCAAAGGUACUAAGUAAGUGAUUUUAUUCACAGUAAUGGUUGGAGCCAUAUCUUAAGUUUUUGGACGAAUUUUUUGCUUAAACCUUUUAAAGAAGGUAGAUUAUUGUGUUAAAAAACUAUAUAUAUAUAAAUUUUGUG